UACAGAGGGUGCGAACGUUGCUCGGAUUUACUGGGCGUAAAGCGCUUGUAGGCGGGCGAAUGUGUCGGGUGUGAAAUCCCUGAGCUUAACUCAGGAACUGCAUUCGAAACUAUUCGUCUUGAGGAAUUGAGAGGAGAACGGAAUUCCCGGUGUAGAGGUGAAAUUCGUAGAUAUCGGGAGGAACACCAGAUGCGAAGGCGGUUCUCUGGAAAUUAUCUGACGCUGAGAAGCGAAAGCGUGGGGAGCAAACGGG
This 253-nucleotide ribosomal RNA is filed under the name uncultured bacterium. RNAcentral's name for it is "partial 16S ribosomal RNA". It matches the Rfam family "Bacterial small subunit ribosomal RNA", at positions 524 to 776 of the family's 1533-position model. The record is from RNAcentral.